GACGAAGGAUGCAAGCGUUAUCCGGAUUCAUUGGGUUUAAAGGGUGCGUAGGCGGCCCGGUAAGUCAGUGGUGAAAUCUCCUUGCUUAACAAGGAAACUGCCAUUGAUACUGUCGGGCUUGAGUACAGUUGCUGUGGGCGGAAUAUGACAUGUAGUGGUGAAAUACAUAGAGAUGUCAUAGAACACCGAUUGCGAAGGCAGCUCACAAAACUGUAACUGACGCUGAGGCACGAAAGUGCGGGGAUCAAACAGGAUUAGAUACCCUGGUAGUCCGCACCGUAAACGAUGAUUACUCGCUGCUAGAGGGCAACUUUUAGUGGCUUAGCGAAAGCGAUAAGUAAUCCACCUGGGGAGUACGCCGGCAACGGUGAA
This 372-nucleotide ribosomal RNA is filed under the name uncultured bacterium. RNAcentral describes it as "bacterial SSU rRNA". It matches the Rfam family "Bacterial small subunit ribosomal RNA", at positions 524 to 898 of the family's 1533-position model. The record is from RNAcentral.